UCCAUCCUGCUGAUUUUUCAAAGUCUGCAGAAGCCUGAGUGGCCUGUUGCACAGUCUACCCAAGGGACAUGGACUUGGUCAUCCAUGGCACAGAAGAGAUCCGACCUCAAAUCGAGAUAAAGGUGGACACACCUGUUAUCUAAAUUAUGCGAUUUAUCCAGUUGAAGAGGCUUCUUGUAAGUAAAUAACAUGAAAAAUUUUCAUAUUCUUACAUAUAAUAAGACCGUGUAACAACUUUGCUCCAAUUUUUAAUUAAAUAGCAUAUUAAGUCACUUUUCCCCAGUGACUUAAAGUGGAAUAACUUGAGAUAAAUAAAUCAUAUAAUUCAUGAUUAGAUUGUUUAGUCAUUCAGUCGUGNNNNNNNNNNNNNGACCCCAUGGAUUGUAG
Molecule: long non-coding RNA, 387 nt
Filed under: Capra hircus (goat)
Lineage: Eukaryota; Metazoa; Chordata; Mammalia; Artiodactyla; Bovidae
Description: lncRNA (ENSCHIG00010015983.1)
Source: RNAcentral